GACGAACGCUGGCGGCGUGCCUAAUACAUGCAAGUCGAACGCUGUUUCUUUCACCGGAGCUUGCUCCACCGAAAGAAACAGAGUGGCGGACGGGUGAGUAACACGUGGGCAACCUGCCCAUCAGAGGGGGAUAACACUUGGAAACAGGUGCUAAUACCGCAUAACAGUCUGCACCGCAUGGUGCAGGAGUGAAAGACGCUUUCGGGUGUCACUGAUGGAUGGGCCCGCGGUGCAUUAGCUAGUUGGUGAGGUAACGGCUCACCAAGGCCACGAUGCAUAGCCGACCUGAGAGGGUGAUCGGCCACACUGGGACUGAGACACGGCCCAGACUCCUACGGGAGGCAGCAGUAGGGAAUCUUCGGCAAUGGACGAAAGUCUGACCGAGCAACGCCGCGUGAGUGAAGAAGGUUUUCGGAUCGUAAAACUCUGUUGUUAGAGAAGAACAAGUGAGAGAGUAACUGUUCUCACCUUGACGGUAUCUAACCAGAAAGCCACGGCUAACUACGUGCCAGCAGCCGCAGUAAUAC
Molecule: ribosomal RNA, 527 nt
Filed under: uncultured bacterium
Lineage: Bacteria
Description: bacterial SSU rRNA
Rfam family: Bacterial small subunit ribosomal RNA
Source: RNAcentral